AAGGAAGAAAGAAAAGAAAAGAAAAGAAAGAAAGAAAGAAAGAAAAAGAAAAAGUAAUACAGAGUUUGAACGGCGAUGGGAAGCAACACGGUAGAGUGUGAGCUAAUUAAGUCUGGAACCUCGUGAGGGGUAUAAAAUAUGAUGUAAUCAUAGAGGAUUGGUGAUGAUACAAUAAACAGGCAGAGAUUUCCAUCACAUGACAUCACUGCUCUGAGGGAAAUAAAGAUAAGAAAGCUCUAGCUUCCGCUUGCCCACCUGUGUC
This is a long non-coding RNA of Suricata suricatta (meerkat), 262 nucleotides long. RefSeq lists it as uncharacterized. The transcript is spliced from 3 exons. The record is from RefSeq and is a predicted model, not a curated record. Lineage: Eukaryota; Metazoa; Chordata; Mammalia; Carnivora; Herpestidae.